This 31-nucleotide ribosomal RNA is filed under the name Myrceugenia rufa. RNAcentral's name for it is "partial 18S ribosomal RNA". Lineage: Eukaryota; Viridiplantae; Streptophyta; Magnoliopsida; Myrtales; Myrtaceae. The record is from RNAcentral.
UCGAAUCCUGCAUAGCAGAAUGACCAGAGAA